GUGCCAACUGAAUUUCCUUUUUUUGAACAUUUAUAAUGAGAUUUUAUUAAUAAUUAAAAUUAACAAAACAAAUCCAAUUUAACAUUUUAUCUAACUUGAAUUUCCAACCCCCCCCCCCCAAUCAAAGUUAAACAUUGAACUGUAUUUCUUUGCUAGUGAAAAAAAAUGUUAAUCAUUGCUUUUUGGUAUUUUAUUAAUUAUUUAAAAGGCCAAUUUAUUGCCAGUGACAGUCAAAUUAAUUAUUAAUAAUAAUUAUUUUUUCAUUCAUAUCAUUAUUGUAACCCAUAAAUCAAUACAAUUAAUUUAAUUUUUGUACCAAAAAACCCUGUGUGUAGCUCUUUUUUGGGGAUAUUGUGGAUUAAAAGUAGCUGAUGUCCUUCAACAGAUCUUGCUGUAUCAAUUGACACAAACUUUAGAAAAAUCAGUUAAAGGUUAUUUCUGAAAAUUUAACCAUAAUAUUAGUAGUUUUUUUUCUUUUAUGUAAGAUAAACUAGAAAUUGACAAAAAUUUAACUGGAUGCUGGUAUUACAGACAAAUAUGUUUUGGCCUCCACUAAAAUAAUUUUUUUAAAUAUCACCUAGCCUAUGUAAUUCGGGGUACUGUAACAAUAUCCAAAUCCGUUAAGCUAUAAUUUGGCGGUAUUAAUAAUAUGUAUAACAUUGUCCAACAUUGUUUGAACUGUUUGCUAAUAUAUUUUGGUAUCCACUGAAGUCAGUUAGUAACAGUCAGAAUAAAAGUGUAUCAAAAUAAUAUUUUUAUAAUCAAU
Cinara cedri is the source of this 766-nucleotide non-coding RNA. NCBI's taxonomy places the organism in Eukaryota, Metazoa, Arthropoda, Insecta, Hemiptera, Aphididae. The record is from the annotation of a GenBank genome assembly.